Cucurbita pepo subsp. pepo (vegetable marrow) is the source of this 757-nucleotide non-coding RNA. Lineage: Eukaryota; Viridiplantae; Streptophyta; Magnoliopsida; Cucurbitales; Cucurbitaceae. The record is from RefSeq and is a predicted model, not a curated record.
AGUAAAUUCGCUCAAAUAAGCCGCUUGAAGUUCGAAUUUGGCAGAGAGUUCUUCAUAAGAAUCAUUCAUUGAACUGAGGAGAAUAAGUCUGGGAAUUUGAAUCAACCUUUUCCGUCUGAAAAUCGAGUAGUUUCAAAGGAGAGAUUUCUCACAACUUCCAUGAAGAUCGGAAGGAGGAGUCUCGCCGACAUUCACGAAAAAGAAGCUGAAAGAGAGUGGUCAUAGAAGGCCAACUGAAUGAGGCCUCAUGCACUAGUGCCUAGGAGAGGCAGAAGGAGGGUUGCAGCUCACAAAUGGGCAUGUUUUAGAUGUGCCAAAGUGUACACACAAGAAGAAUCAGGAUGCUAACCAGCCUGCAGGGCAAAACUAGGGAGGAUAGAGAGCACUACAACACGGCAGUCAGGGAAGCCGAUGAAACAGGGAUAGCGGUGACAGGUACUCACUUACCCUAACUGUUUAGUAUUUACAACGUUGUUGGAUCCAGGUUGCAUGCAUUCAUAUAUGUUAGAAAGGAUAGAUGAACAUGCACAAUAGAGUUAGAGCCUUUAUAAUCCAUAUGAAUGUAACAUGCAUUGAUAGGGAGAAAUUUCAUAUAUGAGAGGGCGAGGCAACUCUAAAGCACUCCAAGAGUUACAAGACCGUGUUGUUCAAAUUUAUUAUAAACGGAGAAAUGAGAUUCAGAUACAUUUACAAAAUCAAACAUAAAAGACUCGAAAUACAAUAGACAGAUUGACGGAAUGACUCUCACUAUGACCAU